UACGGAGGGUGCAAGCGUUAAUCGGAAUUACUGGGCGUAAAGCGCGCGCAGGCGGUCUUCCAAGUCAGUGGUGAAAGCCCGGAGCUCAACUCCGGAAUUGCCAUUGAAACUGUGAGACUGGAGUACGAGAGAGGUGAGUGGAAUUCCCAGUGUAGAGGUGAAAUUCGUAGAUAUUGGGAAGAACACCGGUGGCGAAGGCGGCUCACUGGCUCGUAACUGACGCUCAGGCGCGACAGCGUGGGGAUCAAACAGG
Molecule: ribosomal RNA, 253 nt
Filed under: uncultured bacterium
Lineage: Bacteria
Description: partial 16S ribosomal RNA
Rfam family: Bacterial small subunit ribosomal RNA
Source: RNAcentral